This 503-nucleotide ribosomal RNA is filed under the name uncultured bacterium. RNAcentral describes it as "partial 16S ribosomal RNA". It matches the Rfam family "Bacterial small subunit ribosomal RNA", at positions 30 to 523 of the family's 1533-position model. The record is from RNAcentral.
AUUGAACGCUGGCGGCAGGCUUAACACAUGCAAGUCGAGCGGGGUGAUGGUGCUUGCACUAUCACUUAGCGGCGGACGGGUGAGUAAUGCUUAGGAAUCUGCCUAUUAGUGGGGGACAACAUCUCGAAAGGGAUGCUAAUACCGCAUACGUCCUACGGGAGAAAGCAGGGGAUCACUUGUGACCUUGCGCUAAUAGAUGAGCCUAAGUCGGAUUAGCUAGUUGGUGGGGUAAAGGCCUACCAAGGCGACGAUCUGGAGCGGGUCUGAGAGGAUAAUCCGCAACACUGGGACUGAGACACGGCCCAGACUCCUACGGGAGGCAGCAGUGGGGAAUAUUGGACAAUGGGGGGAACCCUGAUCCAGCCAUGCCGCGUGUGUGAAGAAGGCCUUAUGGUUGUAAAGCACUUUAAGCGAGGAGGAGGCUCUUUUGGUUAAUACCCAAGAUGAGUGGACGUUACUCGCAGAAUAAGCACCGGCUAACUCUGUGCCAGCCGCCGCGGUAA